This 522-nucleotide ribosomal RNA is filed under the name Arizona elegans. RNAcentral describes it as "partial 16S ribosomal RNA". It matches the Rfam family "Bacterial large subunit ribosomal RNA", at positions 1811 to 2604 of the family's 2925-position model. The record is from RNAcentral. Lineage: Eukaryota; Metazoa; Chordata; Lepidosauria; Squamata; Colubridae.
AAACAUAACCUUUAGCCAAACAAAUAUUAAAGGCAACGCCUGCCCAGUGAACAAUUAAACGGCCGCGGUACCCUAACCGUGCAAAGGUAGCAUAAUCAUUUGUCUACUAAUUAUAGACCUGUAUGAAAGGCAAAAUGAGGGUCUAACUGUCUCUUAUAAUAAAUCAAUUAAACUGAUCUCCUAGUAAAAAAGCUAGAAUAAUAACAUAAGACCAGAAGACCCUGUGAAGCUUAAAUCAAACUAUUAAACCACAUAAUAACUACUUUCGGUUGGGGCGACCUUGGAAAAAAAAAGAACUUCCAAAUAACAUGACUUUAUAUCAUACUAUACAGGCUAACAAGCCAACAAUUGACCCAGCACAGCUGAUAAUUGAACCAAGUUACUCCAGGGAUAACAGCGCAAUCUUCUUCAAGAGUCCAUAUCAAAAAGAAGGUUUACGACCUCGAUGUUGGAUCAGGACAUCCUAAUGGUGCAGCCGCUAUUAAGGGUUCGUUUGUUCAACGAUUAACAGUCCUACGUGAU